RNAcentral lists this ribosomal RNA (301 nucleotides) under uncultured bacterium. Its description in RNAcentral is "partial 16S ribosomal RNA". It matches the Rfam family "Bacterial small subunit ribosomal RNA", at positions 509 to 809 of the family's 1533-position model. The record is from RNAcentral.
CAGCAGCCGCGGUAAAACGUAGGGUGCAAGCGUUAAUCGGAAUUACUGGGCGUAAAGCGUGCGCAGGCGGUUAUAUAAGACAGAUGUGAAAUCCCCGGGCUCAACCUGGGAACUGCAUUUGUGACUGUAUAGCUAGAGUACGGCAGAGGGGGAUGGAAUUCCGCGUGUAGCAGUGAAAUGCGUAGAUAUGCGGAGGAACACCGAUGGCGAAGGCAAUCCCCUGGGCCUGUACUGACGCUCAUGCACGAAAGCGUGGGGAGCAAACAGGAUUAGAUACCCCAGUAGUCCCUGUCUUUAUACA